This 322-nucleotide ribosomal RNA is filed under the name uncultured eukaryote. RNAcentral's name for it is "partial 18S ribosomal RNA". It matches the Rfam family "Eukaryotic small subunit ribosomal RNA", at positions 1470 to 1796 of the family's 1831-position model. The record is from RNAcentral.
CCCUUAGAUGUUCUGGGCCGCACGCGUGCUACACUGAGUGGAUCAGCGGGUCAGGCUGCGCGAAAGCGUUUCCUAAUCUUUAAAUCCGCUCGUGAUGGGGAUUGACGGUUGCAAUUUUCUGUCAUGAACGAGGAAUACCUUGUAAGCGCGGGUCAUCAUCCCGCGCUGAAUACGUCCCUGCCCUUUGUACACACCGCCCGUCGCUCCUACCGAUUGAGUGGUCCGGUGAGGCUUUGGGAUCUGAGCGGAAAGAGCGUUUCGCUGUUUCUGCUCGGAAAACUCAGUCGAACCUUAUCAUUUAGAGGAAGGAGAAGUCGUAACA